Molecule: transfer RNA, 57 nt
Filed under: Canis lupus familiaris (dog)
Lineage: Eukaryota; Metazoa; Chordata; Mammalia; Carnivora; Canidae
Also listed under: 1 other name
Rfam family: tRNA
About the family: Transfer RNA (tRNA) molecules are approximately 80 nucleotides in length. Their secondary structure includes four short double-helical elements and three loops (D, anti-codon, and T loops).
Source: Rfam by way of RNAcentral
UGGCUCAAUUGUAGAGCAUGUGACUCUUGAUCACGGGGUUGUGAGUUUGAACCCCAC